GCAUAAGCUGCACUUUUACAGCAACAUGAGUUACUGGUGUCACUUAAGAAGUUCCAGCACCCUUCUACUUCUGCUGUUCAUCACUAUCCUCCCACUGCUCUUUCUGUUAUGCUGGCAAAACCAUUCAUAUGAACUCUCUUAUGAACUUAAUCAAAGAAAUGGUGACAUAAAGGCAUGAACAAGCAGCCUGCAGUGUCACUGUUGUUAACUUAGAGCAGCGUGAAAAUGCUUGGGCUAAUUUUAAACAAGCAGCCUUUGAAACAAUCUAUCUGCGUGGUGCUAAGCAUGGACUCUCUUGGUUUGCUUCUGAGCAGAAGACUUGACUAUCUGUGGGAAAGAAGGCAGAUGGGAGAGAAGAUGCCUAGUUGUAAAAUAAAAGAUUGAAAGGACAAAGAAUAAUGGAAGAACUUCUAUUUUUGACAGCUAUACAUCUUAAAUGCAUACAAAACUUAAAAUUUGGAAGGCAGCACACUCCCAAACACUUCGCAGUUGCUGUCAUUGGGCAUUUUGUGUCAGAAAUAUGAUUCUGACUGACAUUUGUGGGAGUAGCAUUCACAGGAAAGAUUGUACUGAAAAGUAGCUUUGAUUUGGCAUGUCUAUAUUGUACCAUAAAACAUAGUAUAGAUAUUCC
Molecule: long non-coding RNA, 631 nt
Filed under: Anser brachyrhynchus (Pink-footed goose)
Lineage: Eukaryota; Metazoa; Chordata; Aves; Anseriformes; Anatidae
Description: lncRNA (ENSABRG00000000718.1)
Source: RNAcentral